GACGAACGCUGGCGGCGCGCCUCAUACAUGCAAGUCGAACGAGAAGCUCGGAGCUUGCUCCGGGUGGAGAGUGGCGAACGGGUGAGUAACACGUGAGAAACCUGCCCCGAAGACCGGGAUAACACCGGGAAACCGGUGCUAAUACCGGAUGUCCUUGCCGGACCGCAUGAUCUGGUAAAGGAAAUGGAUUCCGCUUCGGGAUGGUCUCGCGGCCUAUCAGCUUGUUGGCGGGGUAACGCCCACCAGCUACGACGGUAGCUGGUCUGAGAGGAUGGCCAGCCACAUUGGGACUGAGACACGGCCCAGACUCCUACGGGAGGCAGCAGUGGGGAAUAUUGCGCAAUGGGCGAAAGCCUGACGCAGCGACGCCGCGUGUGGGAUGACGG
Molecule: ribosomal RNA, 386 nt
Filed under: uncultured bacterium
Lineage: Bacteria
Description: bacterial SSU rRNA
Rfam family: Bacterial small subunit ribosomal RNA
Source: RNAcentral